CGCUCGUACUAGUUUUACACUAUUCAUCCUAUUUCGUCUUAUUUAAAAUUUUUUUAUAAUUACUAUUUUUAUUAUUAUUAGAUGAUAAAAACAUGAAUAAUAUUUUAUGUAUGACUAAUUUUUUUAAAAUUUUUCAUAAAUUUUUUAAAUAAAAUGAAAAGUUAAACAUUGGACACGGAUUUUCACGGCUACAUUUAUU
This 199-nucleotide microRNA precursor is filed under the name Oryza sativa Japonica Group (Japanese rice). RNAcentral's name for it is "MIR812 microRNA precursor family". The stretch from base 25 to 199 matches the Rfam family "MIR812 microRNA precursor family", at positions 25 to 205 of the family's 205-position model. The record is from Rfam by way of RNAcentral. Lineage: Eukaryota; Viridiplantae; Streptophyta; Magnoliopsida; Poales; Poaceae.